RNAcentral lists this long non-coding RNA (2268 nucleotides) under Salmo salar (Atlantic salmon). RNAcentral describes it as "lncRNA (ENSSSAG00000096000.1)". The record is from RNAcentral. Lineage: Eukaryota; Metazoa; Chordata; Actinopteri; Salmoniformes; Salmonidae.
GUUGUUUAGUCUUACAGAACAGAUCAAAGAACUAUCUACUAAAUGACAAACAGCCUCUUCCCUCCCUUUACCCAGUGGAAGUGUUGUUUGACAUGUGUCUGAAAUAAAUACAACAUUGCACACCAUAUUUUAUAGGGGACUUUUACGCAAUAUGACCAGAUGUUUAAUUUAAGCUGUAAACCUCUCACUUUCUUUAAAUAAGUCUGUCAGUAAAACUAGAGCGAAAAAAAUCCUGUGCCUUUAAAGAUCAUUAAGGCAAUAUAGCUUGUUCUCCACACAAAUAUUUUCAGAGGGAAGGUUAACUUAUGUUUCCUUUUAUUUUAUUUAUUGAGGACAUAAUAUGGACUGUUUAGCUUGACAUUUACACAUCAGUCCAUUAGCUUACACCAUUUGAGGUGAGUCAUGCUCUGUCACGAGAUCUAGUGAUGAUGUUAAAUACAGAUGGAGGUUUCAGGUUUGUAAAUUACAUCGUUGCUUUGUUACGCUCUAGUCAUAAAGUGGAACAUUUCUUUCAAGGUUUACCACACUACCACACUCCAUCCCACCAAAAUUAAACACAUUUAGUCAGAUUGUUUUCUCCAAAUGCUUAAUGCUGAUCUAUAACUCAUGGAGUUGUCACUGACCAUGUUACCUGACCAGUAAAAGGAUUUACCAAACUGAGUUUACUGGUCAGGUGAUGUGGCCAGGAAAAGGUUUUACCAAACUGAGUUUACUGGUCAGGUGAUGUGGUCAGGAAAAGGUUUUACCAAACUGAGUUUACUGGUCAGGUGAUGUGGUCAGGAAAAGGUUUUACCAAACUGAGUUUACUGGUCAGGUGAUGUGGUCAGGAAAAGGGUUUUACCAGGCUGAGUUUCCUGGUCAGGUGAUGUGGUCAGGAAAAGGGUUUUACCAGGCUGAGUUUACUGGUCAGGUGAUGUGGUCAGGAAAAGGUUUUAUCAAACUGAGUUUACUGGUCAGGUGAUGUGGUCAGGAAAAGGUUUUACCAAACUGAGUUUACUGGUCAGGUGAUGUGGUCAGGAAAAGGGUUUUACCAGGCUGAGUUUACUGGUCUGGUGAUGUGGUCAGGAAAAGGGUUUUACCAGGCUGAGUUUACUGGUCAGGUGAUGUGGUCAGGAAAAGGUUUUACCAAACUGAGUUUACUGGUCAGGUGAUGUGGUCAGGAAAAGGUUUUACCAAACUGAGUUUACUGGUCAGGUGAUGUGGUCAGGAAAAGGGUUUUACCAGGCUGAGUUUCCUGGUCAGGUGAUGUGGUAAGGAAAAGGGUUUACCAGGCUGAAUUUACUGCCUACUAGGCACAGAUGUCAAUUCAAUGUCUAUUCCACGUUGGUUCAACUUAAUUUCAUUGAAAUCACGUGGAAACAGUGUUGAUUCAACCAAUGGGUGGGUGGUCAGGUGACUUGGUAAAGAAAAAUGGUUUACCAGACUGAGUUUACUGGUGAGGUGAUCUGGUUAACAAGACUGGGUUUCCUGGUCAGGUGAUGUGGUCAGGAAAAACUCAUGGCCUUACUUAUGGGCAAUAGCAGUAGGACAUUAAAUGUUGCCAUGAUUCAUGACAUCCUCCAUUCAUGAUUCACAGGAAGGGACAAGUUAAUGAUCUGGGGCUUGUGGAGAGUUGAGUCUCUCUAUCGUGUUGAUUUGAGGGUGCUAAUGUUGAGGUGGAGGCCUACUCUGUUGAGCAGUGGUCUGAUAUGGCUCUUCAUUGGCGGUGUCUUCCCAUCCUCCCCCGUGUUGUGUGCGUCAAGCCCAUGGGACAGUAACAAGGUCCAUAUGUAGCCUCUUCCUCCGGCCUCCCCCCCAAACCUGAGGGGGGUAGUGUUAACAGGAUGACAGCCUAUUGAUUUACUCACAGAAAGAGAAGGGGGAAUGAAAGAGUGAGAGUGAGAGAGAGAGAGAGAGAGAGAGAGAAAGAAAGAAAGAAAGAAAGAAAGAAAGAAAGAAAGAAAGAAAGAAAGAAAGAAAGAAAGAAAGAAAGAAAGAAAGAAAGAAAGAAAGAAAGAAAGAAAGAAAGAAAGAAAGAAAGAAAGAAAGAGUAAUAGCUCAAAUAAUUUGAAGUAGAAUCCCCAAAACAUACGGUCAAGAAUCAAGACUAGUUUCUGGGUUGGAAGGUGCCUGUAACUACCACCAGAAACUACUAGAUGUGUGUUUAAUGUGACUUAAACUGCUAGUAAUUUUAGCUUGCUUAUUUUUUUAUGACUAUGUUUUUAUGACUGACACUUUUUAUGACUAACAUUUUCUUACCAGAAGCAUUUGAAGAAGUCAUCCUUUUCA